RNAcentral lists this ribosomal RNA (482 nucleotides) under uncultured Aeromicrobium sp. RNAcentral describes it as "bacterial SSU rRNA". It matches the Rfam family "Bacterial small subunit ribosomal RNA", at positions 8 to 507 of the family's 1533-position model. The record is from RNAcentral. Lineage: Bacteria; Bacillati; Actinomycetota; Actinomycetes; Propionibacteriales; Nocardioidaceae.
AGAGUUUGAUCCUGGCUCGGGACGAACGCUGGCGGCGUGCUUAACACAUGCAAGUCGAGCGGUAAGGCCCUUCGGGGUACACGAGCGGCGAACGGGUGAGUAACACGUGAGCAAUCUGCCCUUCUCUUUGGAAUAACCAUUGGAAACGAUGGCUAAUGCCGAAUAUGACCUCCUUUCGCAUGUUUGGAGGUGGAAAGCUCCGGCGGAGAUGGAUGAGCUCGCGGCCUAUCAGCUUGUUGGUGAGGUAAUGGCUCACCAAGGCAUUGACGGGUAGCCGGCCUGAGAGGGUGACCGGCCACACUGGGACUGAGACACGGCCCAGACUCCUACGGGAGGCAGCAGUGGGGAAUAUUGGACAAUGGGCGAAAGCCUGAUCCAGCAACGCCGCGUGAGGGAUGACGGCCUUCGGGUUGUAAACCUCUUUCAGCAGGGACGAAGCGAGAGUGACGGUACCUGCAGAAGAAGGACCGGCCAACUACGUG